This 277-nucleotide ribosomal RNA is filed under the name uncultured prokaryote. RNAcentral's name for it is "partial 16S ribosomal RNA". It matches the Rfam family "Bacterial small subunit ribosomal RNA", at positions 524 to 800 of the family's 1533-position model. The record is from RNAcentral.
UACGUAGGGGGCGAGCGUUGUCCGGAAUGACUGGGCGUAAAGGGCGUGUAGGCGGCCUGUUAAGUCUGGAGUGAAAGUCCUGCUUUCAAGGUGGGAAUUGCUUUGGAGACUGGCGGGCUUGAGUGAGGAAGAGGUAAGUGGAAUUCCCAGUGUAGCGGUGAAAUGCGUAGAGAUUGGGAGGAACACCAGUGGCGAAGGCGACUUACUGGGCCGUAACUGACGCUGAGGCGCGAAAGCGUGGGGAGCGAACAGGAUUAGAUACCCUGGUAGUCCCUGA